UACGUAGGGUGCGAGCGUUAAUCGGAAUUACUGGGCGUAAAGCGUGCGUAGGCGGUUCUCCAAGUCCGUUGUGAAAGCCCCGGGCUCAACCUGGGAAUGGCAGUGGAAACUAGGGGACUGGAAUCUGGCAGAGGGGGGUGGAAUUCCGCGUGUAGCAGUGAAAUGCGUAGAUAUGCGGAGGAACACCGAUGGCGAAGGCAAUCCCCUGGGCCUGCACUGACGCUCAUGCACGAAAGCGCGGGGAGCAAACAGG
This 253-nucleotide ribosomal RNA is filed under the name uncultured bacterium. Its description in RNAcentral is "partial 16S ribosomal RNA". It matches the Rfam family "Bacterial small subunit ribosomal RNA", at positions 524 to 776 of the family's 1533-position model. The record is from RNAcentral.